GCUGGCAUAACUCAGUUGGUAGAGUAACUCAUUCGUAAUGAGUAAGUCGGGGGUUCGAGUCCCCCUUCCAGCU
RNAcentral lists this transfer RNA (73 nucleotides) under Cellulosilyticum sp. WCF-2. Its description in RNAcentral is "tRNA-Thr". It matches the Rfam family "tRNA". Rfam says of the family: Transfer RNA (tRNA) molecules are approximately 80 nucleotides in length. RNAcentral also lists the same sequence under 1 other name. The record is from RNAcentral. Lineage: Bacteria; Bacillati; Bacillota; Clostridia; Lachnospirales; Cellulosilyticaceae.